Molecule: ribosomal RNA, 253 nt
Filed under: uncultured bacterium
Lineage: Bacteria
Description: partial 16S ribosomal RNA
Rfam family: Bacterial small subunit ribosomal RNA
Source: RNAcentral
UACAGGGGGUGCAAACGUUGCUCGGAAUUAUUGGGCGUAAAGCGCGCGUAGGCGGCUACUUAAGUCGGAUGUGAAAGCCCUUGGCUCAACUGAGGAAGUGCACCCGAAACUGAGUGGCUUGAGUACGAAAGAGGGUCGCGGAAUUCCCGGUGUAGAGGUGAAAUUCGUAGAUAUCGGGAGGAACACCGGUGGCGAAGGCGGCGUUCUGGACUGCAACUGACACUGAGAAACGAAAGCCAGGGGAGCAAACGGG